CCUACGGGGUGCUGCAGUGAGGAAUAUUGGUCAAUGGACGAGAGUCUGAACCAGCCAAGUAGCGUGAAGGAUGACUGCCCUAUGGGUUGUAAACUUCUUUUAUAUGGGAAUAGAAUGUUCCACGUGUGGGAUUUUGUAUGUACCAUAUGAAUAAGGAUCGGCUAACUCCGUGCCAGCAGCCGCGGUAAUACGGAGGAUCCGAGCGUUAUCCGGAUUUAUUGGGUUUAAAGGGAGCGUAGGUGGAUUGUUAAGUCAGUUGUGAAAGUUUGCGGCUCAACCGUAAAAUUGCAGUUGAAACUGGCAGUCUUGAGUACAGUAGAGGUGGGCGGAAUUCGUGGUGUAGCGGUGAAAUGCUUAGAUAUCACGAAGAACUCCGAUUGCGAAGGCAGUUCACUGGACUGCAACUGACACUGAGGCUCGAAAGUGUGGGUAUCAAACAGGAUUAGAUACCCUUGUAGUC
Molecule: ribosomal RNA, 460 nt
Filed under: uncultured bacterium
Lineage: Bacteria
Description: partial 16S ribosomal RNA
Rfam family: Bacterial small subunit ribosomal RNA
Source: RNAcentral